AUCCAGCAAACCAGUGGCCCAUCUUGUCCUCCUUCACGCCCCUCCCCAACCGUGAAGCACAACCAAUGGGAUCUACCCAAGCCCACACAUACAACAAGCUGUCGUCUAGCCUUUCAUGUUGCCAAGUUGCAAUCCCCCACCAUUCCAAAUCAAACCCUAAAGAACCAACCACGCUGCUAGUUAGUUCCUGAAAGCUACGGUGUAAGAGGAAUUGAGAAGAGAUGUUGAAGUAAAGGAGUUGAGGGAAGUCUAAUGCGUAGCCAACGAUAUUACCAGAUUGAAGCGAUAAAAUGCAGUGUUUGAUUUAAUGAAGCUAUGUGUUUUAUAUGAGCAACGGUAUUAAACAGAAGCGGUAGUUCAAUGCAAUGCGUAUUGGUUUUUAGUGAAACAGUGCGUCUUGAAGAUGGAGGGAAUGGAAAUAGAAGGCUCGAUGAAUUGUUGAAGAUUGACUUCGUGUUGGAGGUUAAAGAUUCCUCAAAAACCUUUUCCAAGAAUUAAUGCAAGGGAUUCUUGGUUCA
Long non-coding RNA from Juglans microcarpa x Juglans regia, 518 nucleotides. RefSeq lists it as uncharacterized. The transcript is spliced from 2 exons. NCBI's taxonomy places the organism in Eukaryota, Viridiplantae, Streptophyta, Magnoliopsida, Fagales, Juglandaceae. The record is from RefSeq and is a predicted model, not a curated record.